RNAcentral lists this long non-coding RNA (180 nucleotides) under Anas platyrhynchos platyrhynchos (common mallard). RNAcentral's name for it is "lncRNA (ENSAPLG00000031081.1)". Lineage: Eukaryota; Metazoa; Chordata; Aves; Anseriformes; Anatidae. The record is from RNAcentral.
CUGGAAUUUUCAAGUUGAAAUUCAAAAGCUGUGCAUAUCUUUUCUUGUUUCCCGCUACUGAGAGUAGAAUAAAAGCUUCACAUGGAACAGUUUUGGACCAUCCCCAUGUAGAGGAUGAUACAGAUAACAAACUCUCUGGUGGGAAAUGGAAGAGAAACUUGUAAAAAACUUUACAGAAAA